UGGGUUGUGGCUCAGUGGUGGAGUGCUUGCCUAGUGUGUAUGAGGCACUGGGUUUGAGCCUCAGCACCAUAU
This 72-nucleotide transfer RNA is filed under the name Marmota monax (woodchuck). RNAcentral describes it as "tRNA.Thr". The record is from RNAcentral. Lineage: Eukaryota; Metazoa; Chordata; Mammalia; Rodentia; Sciuridae.